Molecule: ribosomal RNA, 450 nt
Filed under: uncultured bacterium
Lineage: Bacteria
Description: partial 16S ribosomal RNA
Rfam family: Bacterial small subunit ribosomal RNA
Source: RNAcentral
CCUACGGGCGGCUGCAGUGGGGAAUUUUGGACAAUGGGCGCAAGCCUGAUCCAGCCAUUCCGCGUGAGUGAAGAAGGCCUUCGGGUUGUAAAGCUCUUUCGCAAGGGAAGAAAACUUAUCCUCUAACAUAGGAUGAGGUUGACGGUACCUUGAUAAGAAGCACCGGCUAACUACGUGCCAGCAGCCGCGGUCAUACGUAGGGUGCGUGCGUUAAUCGGAGUUACCGGGCGUAAAGUUUGAAGUGGCAGUUGAAAUCCCCGAGCUCAACUUGGGAACUGCGGUUGAAACUACAAGACUAGAAUAGGUCAGAGGGGGGUAGAAUUCCACGUGUAGCAGUGAAAUGCGUAGAGAUGUGGAGGAAUAUCAAUGGCGAAGGCAGCCCCCUGGGAUCAUAUUGACGCUCAUGCACGAAAGCGUGGGGAGCAAACAGGAUUAGAUACCCCAGUAGUC